UGGUUGACCUACCCCAAGUAAGGGAUACCGGUCCGAAAGGACUACUAAUACCUUAUAAGCUCCCGGUGUUUAGAAAACUGGGAGAAAAGUUCCGGCGCUUUGGGCGGGGACUGCGGACCAUCAGCUAGUUGGUGUGGUAACGGCACACCAAGGCGACGACGGAUAGGGGACCUGAGAGGGUGGCCCCCCACACUGGAACUGAGACACGGUCCAGACUCCUACGGGAGGCAGCAGUGAGGAAUAUUGCACAAUGGGCGCAAGCCUGAUGCAGCGACGCCGCGUGGGUGAUGAAGGUUUUCGGAUCGUAAAGCCCUUUUCUAGAUGACGAGUAAGGACGGUAGUCUAGGAAUAAGUGUCGGCUAACUACGUGCCAGCAGCCGCGGUAAAACGUAGGACACAAGCGUUAUCCGGAGUUACUGGGCGUAAAGGGCGUGUAGGCGGACCUGUAAGUCUAUUCUAAAAGCUCCUGGCUAAACUGGGAGAGGCGAAUGGAGACUGCAGAUCUAGAGUGAGGAAGAGGAAAGUGGAAUUCCGCGUGUAGUGGUGAAAUGCGUAGAGAUGCGGAGGAACACCAGUGGCGAAAGCGACUUUCUGGUCCUUAACUGACGCUGAGGCGCGAAAGCAUGGGGAGCGAACGGGAUUAGAAACCCCGGUAGUCCAUGCCAUAAACGAUGUUCACUAAACGUUCGUUUCCCGCGAGGGAAGCGGGUGUUGAGGCCAACGCAGUAAGUGAACCGCCUGGGGAGUACGGUCGCAAGGCUAAAACUCAAAGGAAUUGACGGGGGACCGCACAAGCAGCGGAGCGUGUGGUUUAAUUCGAGGCUACACGAAGAACCUUACCUGGGUUUGACAUCGUGUUGAAGUGCCCAUGAAAGUGGGUAUGCCUCGCAAGAGCAAUACGACAGGUGCUGCAUGGCUGUCGUUAGCUCGUGCCGUGAGGUGUUCGGUUAAGUCCGCAAACGAGCGCAACCCUUGC
RNAcentral lists this ribosomal RNA (976 nucleotides) under uncultured Longilinea sp. RNAcentral describes it as "bacterial SSU rRNA". It matches the Rfam family "Bacterial small subunit ribosomal RNA", at positions 118 to 1108 of the family's 1533-position model. The record is from RNAcentral. Lineage: Bacteria; Bacillati; Chloroflexota; Anaerolineae; Anaerolineales; Anaerolineaceae.